AUUGAACGCUGGCGGCAGGCCUAACACAUGCAAGUCGAGCGGAUGAAGGGAGCUUGCUCCUGGAUUCAGCGGCGGACGGGUGAGUAAUGCCUAGGAAUCUGCCUGGCAGUGGGGGAUAACGUCCGGAAACGGGCGCUAAUACCGCAUACGACCUGAGGGAGAAAGUGGGGGAUCUUCGGACCUCACGCUAUCAGAUGAGCCUAGGUCGGAUUAGCUAGUUGGUGGGGUAAAGGCCUACCAAGGAGACGAUCCGUAACUGGUCUGAGAGGAUGAUCAGUCACACUGGAACUGAGACACGGUCCAGACUCCUACGGGAGGCAGCAGUGGGGAAUAUUGGACAGAGGGCGAAAGCCUGGUCCAGCCAUGCCGCGUGUGCGAAGAAGGUCUUCGGAUUGUAAAGCACUUUAAGUGGGGAGGAAGGGCAGUAAGUUAAUACCUUGCUGUUUUGACGUUACCAACAGAAGAAGCACCGGCUAACUUCGUG
Molecule: ribosomal RNA, 484 nt
Filed under: uncultured bacterium
Lineage: Bacteria
Description: partial 16S ribosomal RNA
Rfam family: Bacterial small subunit ribosomal RNA
Source: RNAcentral